RNAcentral lists this unclassified non-coding RNA (994 nucleotides) under Hevea brasiliensis (rubber tree). The record is from RNAcentral. Lineage: Eukaryota; Viridiplantae; Streptophyta; Magnoliopsida; Malpighiales; Euphorbiaceae.
AUUUUUUUUUUUUUUUUUUCCAAAGAGGAGAGUUUAAGGAAAGAUUUGUUUUUUCCUUUGUUUUACUUUUCCCUAUUGUAUAGCCACGCGCCUUAGAAACUUCAACAAGUCAUAAGAGAAUUCCAUAGAUAGUGGAGUUUAUGCCUAGACAGAAGAUGCUUCAGAACAAAAAAAAAAGGGAAAGAAAGAAAGAAAACCUUUGUUAGUAGUCUUGUUAUUGGCAUGUGAUACUUGAUAUGCUAUUCCUUAUUACAGCUAUGGUUUUACUCAGCUUUGUCAAGAACUAUAAGAAAAAAAAUAUUGCCAUUGAAGUGAAAUUCAACCAAUGAAGUAUUAGUUUCGUUCGUUAAAAUUGAUCUUUUGCUUAUGCGUGUUGUGUUCAUUUUCCCGUUAUCCCCCUUGUCUAAUCAUGAAUUCAAGACUGAAUGAGGACCUUGAUGAUGUGUAGUUGGUCAUGCCUGUAUGCAACCGUAGACUGUGCUCAAUUAUUCAUCAACCAGAAGCUGGUUGUGCCUGGUUUUGAAAUAACUAGUGCAUCAAAUUUAACUCUCAGCCAAUGCAGUGUGCUCUGUUUUAUGAAGUGCAAGAUCGCUUUGGAAAUUGUUUGUUAUGGUUUAUUGUCAUAUCGCUACACAGCCUUCAUGCCUCUGCCUAAUCAUUACAUCUCGAUCAUCAUGUAGCAGAAUUAUUCAACUUCAUAUAGGUAAAUGCACCUGAGAAAAGUGCCUGUGAUGUGGCGGUAAGAAUUUAAUGCAGCUCAAAGUCCUACUCUUGCACUUUUCUGCAAAUCUUGUACACAAGAAACAGGCAAGAUUGAAAGAAAGGGAAGCGCGAGGGGGGUGUUUUGAAAAAAGAAGAUGAUCAUGUAAGCUAAGCAUAAAUAGAAACCAUAAGAGCGGCUAAUUUUAUAGCUUAUUUCUAAAUUUUACUCUGUAUUUCACUUGUCUUCCUUGACUUUAAUUUGUUAUUAAAAAUUCUUUGAACUCUAAUUUUG